UACGUAGGGGGCAAGCGUUAUCCGGAUUUACUGGGUGUAAAGGGGGCGCAGACGGCGCGGCAAGUCCAGAGUGAAAUCCCAGGGCCCAACCCUGGGGCUGCUCUGGAAACUGCCGGGCUGGAGUGCUGGAGGGGCAGGCGGAAUUCCUAGUGUAGCGGUGAAAUGCGUAGAUAUUAGGAGGAACACCGGUGGCGAAGGCGGCCUGCUGGACAGCGACUGACGUUGAGGCCCGAAAGCGUGGGGAGCAAACAGG
RNAcentral lists this ribosomal RNA (253 nucleotides) under uncultured bacterium. Its description in RNAcentral is "partial 16S ribosomal RNA". It matches the Rfam family "Bacterial small subunit ribosomal RNA", at positions 524 to 776 of the family's 1533-position model. The record is from RNAcentral.